ACUCUGGUAUUGAUUGGUGCUUGCAUCAUGAUUUACAUUUGAGUGAGUGGCGAACUGGUGAGUAACACGUGGGAAACCUGCCCAGAAGCGGGGGAUAACACCUGGAAACAGAUGCUAAUACCGCAUAACAACUUGGACCGCAUGGUCCGAGUUUGAAAGAUGGCUUCGGCUAUCACUUUUGGAUGGUCCCGCGGCGUAUUAGCUAGAUGGUGGGGUAACGGCUCACCAUGGCAAUGAUACGUAGCCGACCUGAGAGGGUAAUCGGCCACAUUGGGACUGAGACACGGCCCAAACUCCUACGGGAGGCAGCAGUAGGGAAUCUUCCACAAUGGACGAAAGUCUGAUGGAGCAACGCCGCGUGAGUGAAGAAGGGUUUCGGCUCGUAAAACUCUGUUGUUAAAGAAGAACAUAUCUGAGAGUAACUGUUCAGGUAUUGACGGUAUUUAACCAGAAAGCCACGGCUAACUACGUGCCAGCAGCCGCGGUAAUACGUAGGUGGCAAGCGUUGUCCGGAUUUAUUGGGCGUAAAGCGAGCGCAGGCGGUUUUUUAAGUCUGAUGUGAAAGCCUUCGGCUCAACCGAAGAAGUGCAUCGGAAACUGGGAAACUUGAGUGCAGAAGAGGACAGUGGAACUCCAUGUGUAGCGGUGAAAUGCGUAGAUAUAUGGAAGAACACCAGUGGCGAAAGCGGCUGUCUGGUCUGUAACUGACGCUGAGGCUCGAAAGUAUGGGUAGCAAACAGGAUUAGAUACCCUGGUAGUCCAUACCGUAACGAUGAUGCUAGUGUUGGAGGGUUUCGCCCUUCAGUGCUGCAGCUAACGCAUAAGCAUCCGCUAGAGUACGCGCAGCUGAACUCAAGAUGACGGG
RNAcentral lists this ribosomal RNA (865 nucleotides) under Lactiplantibacillus plantarum. RNAcentral describes it as "bacterial SSU rRNA". It matches the Rfam family "Bacterial small subunit ribosomal RNA", at positions 66 to 917 of the family's 1533-position model. The record is from RNAcentral. Lineage: Bacteria; Bacillati; Bacillota; Bacilli; Lactobacillales; Lactobacillaceae.